AAAGUUAGUAGUGAAUUGGGUCUCUAAGUCCUCUUUUGCUUCCUCUUUUCAGCAACUCAUUGUCAUGAAGAACAAAAGACUCUCUUCAUCAAAGUUGAACUUUUGUCUUCAAAAGGGUGGAUUAUGUGGAAGACCUUCGGAGUGCUACUUUCUGGUCUACCGAUAACAGCAUCCUGGGCAAAUCUGCCUCAACCCUGUCCUCUGAGAUCAUCAGCAAGAAGUGUGUUUACCAGGAUUCCAGUUCUGCAAAGGAGGCUCCUCAAAAGAAGGAAGCAUCCACCCACCUGAGAGACUCUGUGUCAGAGAGAACCCAGAGCUUGGACAGCAGCAUACUCGCUUCUCUCCAUGUCACCUUGUGCUCUAAGGACUCUUGACGUUCUAAACACAAGUGCUGCCUCAGUAGUACAACAGAGAGAUGUUAAAUUGAAGAGAACCUACAACCUGCUGGAAGAACAGCAACCUGCAAGAGUCAAGGAGUCGGCAUCUCAAACUGGAUCUGUGGUUUGCUCUCAACGCAGGCUCUUGCCUCAGAGGCGGGUGCAGGCCGCACUGCUGGGGACCACAGGCUUCGGAAGGGCGGCUGGUUGACAUGUAUUGAGUCAAUGAAGCAGAUGGUAUCGUCACAGAUGAGGAAACAGGUGCAUGGACCUGUGGCAUAAUGUGGCCCACGUGACACCCACCUCAUUGGAUUCCUGAGCCUGGGUUCUCAGAUCCUCCGGCCCCAGCUUCACAUCGCAGCCACCAGCAUCACGAUUCCCCAUGCUGCAGAUUUCUCAUCUAUGAGGUAAGCAUGAAAUGAGAUCAUAUAUUAAGGGGGCACCUGGGGGGCUCAGUGGUUGAACAUCUGCCUUUGGCUCAGGGCAUGA
Molecule: long non-coding RNA, 866 nt
Filed under: Vulpes vulpes (red fox)
Lineage: Eukaryota; Metazoa; Chordata; Mammalia; Carnivora; Canidae
Description: lncRNA (ENSVVUG00000010325.1)
Source: RNAcentral